This 253-nucleotide ribosomal RNA is filed under the name uncultured bacterium. Its description in RNAcentral is "partial 16S ribosomal RNA". It matches the Rfam family "Bacterial small subunit ribosomal RNA", at positions 524 to 776 of the family's 1533-position model. The record is from RNAcentral.
UACGGAGGGAGCUAGCGUUGUUCGGAAUUACUGGGCGUAAAGCGCACGUAGGCGGCUUUGUAAGUUAGAGGUGAAAGCCCGGAGCUCAACUCCGGAAUUGCCUUUAAGACUACAUCGCUUGAAUCCGGGAGAGGUGAGUGGAAUUCCGAGUGUAGAGGUGAAAUUCGUAGAUAUUCGGAAGAACACCAGUGGCGAAGGCGGCUCACUGGACCGGUAUUGACGCUGAGGUGCGAAAGCGUGGGGAGCAAACAGG